GCCUGGGUGGCUCAGUCGGUUAAGCGUCUGACUUCAGUUCAGGUCACGAUCUUGCAUCUCGUGAGUUCGAGCCCCACAUUGGGCU
This 85-nucleotide transfer RNA is filed under the name Felis catus (domestic cat). It matches the Rfam family "tRNA". From Rfam's summary of the family: Transfer RNA (tRNA) molecules are approximately 80 nucleotides in length. Their secondary structure includes four short double-helical elements and three loops (D, anti-codon, and T loops). Further hydrogen bonds mediate the characteristic L-shaped molecular structure. tRNAs have two regions of fundamental functional importance: the anti-codon, which is responsible for specific mRNA codon recognition, and the 3' end, to which the tRNAs corresponding amino acid is attached (by aminoacyl-tRNA synthetases). tRNAs cope with the degeneracy of the genetic code in two manners: having more than one tRNA (with a specific anti-codon) for a particular amino acid; and 'wobble' base-pairing, i.e. permitting non-standard base-pairing at the 3rd anti-codon position. The record is from Rfam by way of RNAcentral. Lineage: Eukaryota; Metazoa; Chordata; Mammalia; Carnivora; Felidae.